Molecule: long non-coding RNA, 423 nt
Filed under: Ananas comosus (pineapple)
Lineage: Eukaryota; Viridiplantae; Streptophyta; Magnoliopsida; Poales; Bromeliaceae
Description: long non-coding RNA (ACOM_LNC041875)
Source: RNAcentral
GAUCCACCACAAAUACAGGGAGUCCACUCUUCACACGGACAUAGUCUCCCAUAUAUUUGCACGGCGUCGCAUAAGUACAAGAUACAACCACAGCAUAUGAACAUCCAUAUUCAUUCACCAUUCACAUCCACAUUCAUUUCAUCAAAAAUAUCCAUAAAUCCACAUCUAUCAGUUUAAAAUAUUUCCUACCCGGAAACCCAUUUUGAAACACUAAGUCAUGAAAACUAAGAAAACCUUUUAAAAAUUAUUUCCCACACAGAAACCUUUUUCUUUUAAAAACGUGCUACCACGAGGAGUAGAAAACAAUUUUUAUUUCGCAAGAAUCCAUAAAUCUUUUAUUACAUUUACGAAAUCUCAAUUAUUCAAUUAACAUAAAAUACUGAACCAUAAUUACUUUCUAAGUCAUUUAAUAAAAGAAAACGA